GCAAAGCUUUGGAACAGUCGCUGUCCAGCCCUUUGUGGCGCAGCGACCAGACUCCUGAUUGGGUCUGAACGCCUCUUGAGCAAAGAUCUGUUUUUUUUGUCCUCGAAAAAGCA
Molecule: unclassified non-coding RNA, 113 nt
Filed under: uncultured fungus
Lineage: Eukaryota; Fungi
Description: sequence contains ITS1
Source: RNAcentral